CCUACGGGAGGCAGCAGUAGGGAAUAUUGCUCAAUGGGGGAAACCCUGAUGCAGCAACGCCGCGUGGAGGAUGAAGGUUUUCGGAUUGUAAACUCCUUUUGUUAGAGAAGAUAAUGACGGUAUCUAACGAAUAAGCACCGGCUAACUCCGUGCCAGCAGCCGCGGUAAUACGGAGGGUGCAAGCUUUACUCGGAAUCACUGGGCGUAAAGAGCGCGUAGGCGGGAUAGCAAGUCAGAUGUGAAAUCCUAGGGCUUAACCAUAGAACUGCAUUUGAAACUGUUAUUCUAGAGUAUGGGAGAGGUAGGUGGAAUUCUUGGUGUAGGGGUAAAAUCCGUAGAGAUCAAGAGGAAUACUCAUUGCGAAGGCGACCUGCUAGAACAUAACUGACGCUGAUGCGCGAAAGCGUGGGGAGCAAACAGGAUUAGAUACCCUAGUAGUC
This 440-nucleotide ribosomal RNA is filed under the name uncultured bacterium. Its description in RNAcentral is "partial 16S ribosomal RNA". It matches the Rfam family "Bacterial small subunit ribosomal RNA", at positions 338 to 795 of the family's 1533-position model. The record is from RNAcentral.